UCAUCAUCAUCUUCAUCUGGACUCUCACAGCGUUUGCUCAAGAGUGUAGAGGACAGAUCACCGUCACUCAGAGUCCCUCAAUGACAGCAGCUCAACCAGGACAAACUGUGAACAUCAACUGUAAAACCACAGAUGUGCUUAAUGGAGAUCAUUUAUUCUGGUACUUACAGAAACCUGGAGAAGCUCCUAAAAACCUGAUCCGUCAUGUAAAAAUACUCAUCGCUGGAACUCCAUCUAGAUUCAGUGGCAGUGGAUCUAACAAUGAUUUCACUCUGACCAUCAGUGGAGUCCAGACUGAAGAUGCUGGACAUUAUUACUGUCUUGGUAGCCACUGGAUCAAUGGCUGGAUGUUCACACAGUGAUAAAGAGUCGUACAAAAACCUCCGUCAGUCAGAGUCACAGUGACUGAACUGAUACUGCAGCUGCUCACACACUUUCACACACUUUCACACACUACUGACACACAGAGGACAAACACAGGAACUACACAUGUGCUCAAAACUGACUUAAGACUGAAAUCAGCUCUAUUAGACUGAGAUCUGUCCUGUGACAGAUGGGUUUGACUCAAAUAUGCUCAGAAUCUGAGAUAAACUGAUAUCAAAUCAAAUAAAACACAAAUUUUCCUCAGUUCCGGUGUUCAAUCAUACUGUACCCCUGAUAAACUUGCCUUAUAAAACUACAACUGAAACUCCAUAAGCAGAAGUGAAAGUGUUCCAGUUGAGAGCAUUGAAUCAAACUUUGAAUGAACGACACACUGAUCAAUGAUGCAGUCGGACACAAAUGUAACGCGUUCAGAAGCUUUAUUGAAUGAACAGCAAUGGCAGCACAUUGAAAGACUGCUUCAGUAUUGAGCUGUAAAUCACGUGACUGCUGUGAAUCCUGCUGGACGCUCAGAUACGGCUCGUCUGGACCGGAGAAACAUCAGCACUGGGAGCUCUUGAGGAACGAGGCCUCGUGUUCAGCUCCAUCUUGUCUUCCCAACAUGCUUUGCUGAGGUUCAAGACUCCUACAUUACAGCAGCCAAAUAAACUCUGACAUUAAAAUAUCAAGUCAAAGUACCCGACUAAAGAAAACACUGAUUACCGUGAUGGUGAUAUCAAAAACCCAAACAAAUUUCAAUAAAAUUUCAACAACAACAAAAAACCUCUGUUAAGCUAGCUUCUGUGGAUUUAAAACAGAUCUGCUGAGAUCUUGAGAGAUUU
Non-coding RNA from Megalobrama amblycephala (Wuchang bream), 1202 nucleotides. The record is from the annotation of a RefSeq genome assembly. Lineage: Eukaryota; Metazoa; Chordata; Actinopteri; Cypriniformes; Xenocyprididae.